Molecule: small RNA, 2135 nt
Filed under: Theobroma cacao (cacao)
Lineage: Eukaryota; Viridiplantae; Streptophyta; Magnoliopsida; Malvales; Malvaceae
Description: sRNA Tc08v2_g015610
Source: RNAcentral
GUUUAUGGAAGUGACGACAGGUCCUCAAGCACCAAUCUGUCCGGCUCAACCGCAGACGAUUAAUGAGUAGGCGUUUGCGAAAGCUACGACAAGUCCUCAAGCACCGAUCGGUCCGGCUCUACCCAAACAGCUAACGAGCCGACGUUUGCGAAAGCGACGAUAGGUCCUCAAGCAUCGAUCGGUCCAGCUCCACCUCAAACUGCUAACGAGCCGUCGUUGACCUAGUCGAGAACAGUCAAUGACGGAGCAAUCACUACCCGCCAACUCUGACGGAUCAUGCGCAAGCAUGAAAAAAAGAUGUUGGAGCUGAAGGCUUCAAUUCAGUCAUUGAGUCUAGCAAUGCAGAUGCUUGAGGACCGUAUCGUUGCUCGGAUUCUUGACGACCUUAAAUCACAAGUCCGUUAUUCUAUCUUCGCUUGUAUUUUGAUGGUUUACGUUUAACAACUGUUUAGACUGUGUUUUCUUGUUGGUUUGAUGGUUUUUGGGGUUAAGUGGUAGUGGUUUAAAUAGUUUUUCGUCAUUAGCGGGUCAGGACAUUUGUAUUAUAGUUAGUUAUUGCUGUGUCAGCCUUAGCAUGUGACAACAUUUUACUUGAUAUGUACGGCGUGUCACAACAUUUUACUGUUUAUGGUUUGUGGUAUUUUAUGAGCUAAGUAACUGUUUUUCCCAUUUUGUACGGCGGUCCAUCUCACGGUGUUGGUCUGGAGCAUGAUGAUGCUGAUUAUGGACAGCAUCAUGAACCUGGUGUUGACAUUGACGAUGGCGUUCUUAGUGCUGAUGGAGAGCACGUAACUCAUGUCAAUGACGUCGUCGAUGAAGCUGUGGCAGUGGAUGUCACCCUUCAAUCCGAUGAUGCUGAAUGGGAGCAUGUUCCUUUGCCCGAGUCCAUUAUCGAUGCAUCUGCUGGAGGGGACAGGGAGCCUGACUCAAUCGUGGCUAAAGGAGAGCAUAUUCUUUCGACCGAUGCAUUCGUCAACGUAGUAGCAAGAGCUAUCAUUCUUUAUCGUGAGAGCACUUUUGAUGCAGUUGAGAUAUGAUCGUCGUCACCGGAGUCAUCUACUAUCCAUGAUGGUGCAGCAGAAAUUUCAGACCCAACUGAGCGGGCACGGCUGAAAAUAGCGAGCAAAUACAUGGCAAACCCGUUCGUCGACCCCUUAGUAACUUGUCAAGAUGUGAGGGAUAAAAUCGUAGAAGACUACGAAGCUUUCAAGAAAGACGAGUCCGCGAGAUAAGCUCAUAAAUAACAUUGCAAAUAUUAUUUUUUAAUGAAACAUUAAUCCACCAAGACUUAUGAAAUUCAUUAUGUUACAUAUGUAGGCAUAACGUCAGCAUCUUAGGGGAUUAAGGGGCUGACUUUUUCAUAACCUUAGAGGAUCUCAAUGAGGAAAUGAUAAGUGAACAUAUCGACGUAUGCCUCAGCCUACUCUGCAAGCGAAUGACAGGGUCGAAGUCGAAGCUGUACACUACUCAUGCAUGCGUGGUUGACACGAUAUUCUUUGACACCAUCCAUAUGCUACACACGAAAUUUCCAAUAGAAGAUGCUCGGGCAACAAUGCAAAUUCCAGAUGAGUUGCGAGGGUAUGUGGAGGGUGAAAGGCCGACAUAUGCCAAAAAAUGGGAAGAUGUGGAUUUCAUCCUCGUGCCUUGCAACGUUGGUGGGCAUUAGGUGAUUGCGAAGAUCGACUUGGUGAGGUGGACGAUCAAGGUGCUAGACUCCGCAAGAACUUCGGAUUCUAAGGAUAACGGAGUUCGUGCGGGUCAGAUGACACCCUUAACGACAAUGAUGCCAUUCAUCGGUCACCAAGCCAGUUAUUUCAACAACAUACGUCGGAAGAGAUAGGAUUUGACUUCGAUGCCAUUGGAUAUUCAUUUGCCAAAAGCUAAAGUGCAUCGGUAGAAUGAUAGUAUCAGUUGCGGUAUGUUCAUGAUAGGGUACAUAGACCAUAUUUUGCAAUCAGAAAAGAUCAGAGUUAAGCAGAAUAUGAUUGCAAAAAUGCAUUGGCAAUACGCUCUAAAAUUUUUUUCCAACAGUUGUGAGAGUGAACCCUGAACAUAUCGGCCAUUGUCUGUACAAUUUUUUUGUAUACAGAAUUUUUUUUAUACAAUUAAUUUUAUACAUAAAUUUUUUGUAUACA